CGGGUGAGUAAUGCGUGACCAACCUGCCCCAUGCUCCAGAAUAGCUCUUGGAAACGGGUGGUAAUGCUGGAUGCUCCAACUUGACGCAUGUCUUGGUUAGGGAAAGUGUUUAGUGGCAUGGGAUGGGGUCGCGUCCUAUCAGCUUGUAGGCGGGGUAAUGGCCCACCUAGGCUUCGACGGGUAGCCGGCCUGAGAGGGCGGACGGCCACAUUGGGACUGAGAUACGGCCCAGACUCCUACGGGAGGCAGCAGAA
This 254-nucleotide ribosomal RNA is filed under the name uncultured Gardnerella sp. Its description in RNAcentral is "partial 16S ribosomal RNA". It matches the Rfam family "Bacterial small subunit ribosomal RNA", at positions 103 to 354 of the family's 1533-position model. The record is from RNAcentral. Lineage: Bacteria; Bacillati; Actinomycetota; Actinomycetes; Bifidobacteriales; Bifidobacteriaceae.